AUUGAACGCUGGCGGCGUGCUUUACACAUGCAAGUCGAACGGCAGCAUGGGAGCUUGCUCCUGAUGGCGAGUGGCGGACGGGUGAGUAAAACAUCGGAACGUGCCUUAUAGUGGGGGAUAACGAGUUGAAAGAUUUGCUAAUACCGCAUGCGCCCUAAGGGGGAAAGCCGGGGACCGCAAGGCCUGGCGCGAUUGGAUGAGCCCAUGUUCGAUUAGCUAGUUGGCGGGGUAAAGGCCCACCAAGGCGACGAUCGAUAGCUGGUCUGAGAGGAUGAUCAGCCACACUGGAACUGAGACACGGUCCAGACUCCUACGGGAGGCAGCAGUAGGGAAUAUUGGACAAUGGGGGCAACCCUGAUCCAGCCAUGCCGCGUGAGUGAAGAAGGCCCUCGGGUUGUAAAGCUCUUUUGUCCGGAAAGAAAAGCAAUCGGUUAAUACCCGGUUGUUCUGACGGUACCAGAAGAAUAAGCACCGGCUAACUUCGUGCCAGCAG
Molecule: ribosomal RNA, 493 nt
Filed under: uncultured bacterium
Lineage: Bacteria
Description: bacterial SSU rRNA
Rfam family: Bacterial small subunit ribosomal RNA
Source: RNAcentral